CGGGGAGCACCACAACAGGUGGAGCCUGCGGUUUAAUCGGACUCAAACGCCGGGAAACUCACCAGAUAAGACAGCUGAAUGAUAGUCGGGCUGAAGACUCUACUUGACUAGCUGAGAGGAGGUGCAUGGCCGUCGUCAGUUCGUACUGUGAAGCAUCCUGUUAAGUCAGGCAACGAGCGAGACCCACGCCAACAGUUGCCAGCUCGUCCUCCGGGAUGGUGGGGACACUGUUGGGACCGCCUCUGCUAAAGAGGAGGAAGGAAUGGGCAACGGUAGGUCAGCAUGCCCCGAAUUAUCUGGGCUACACGCGGGCUACAAUGGGUGGGACAAUGGGUAUCGACACCGAAAGGUGAAGGCAAUCUCCUAAACCCAUCCGUAGUUCGGAUUGUGGGCUGCAACUCGCCCACAUGAAGCUGGAAUCUGUAGUAAUCGUGUCUCAAAAUGGCACGGUGAAUAUGUCCCUGCUCCUU
This 470-nucleotide ribosomal RNA is filed under the name uncultured Methanomicrobiales archaeon. RNAcentral describes it as "bacterial SSU rRNA". It matches the Rfam family "Archaeal small subunit ribosomal RNA", at positions 871 to 1337 of the family's 1478-position model. The record is from RNAcentral. Lineage: Archaea; Methanobacteriati; Methanobacteriota; Methanomicrobia; Methanomicrobiales.